RNAcentral lists this ribosomal RNA (565 nucleotides) under Euphlyctis cyanophlyctis (skittering frog). RNAcentral describes it as "partial large subunit ribosomal RNA". The stretch from base 236 to 565 matches the Rfam family "Bacterial large subunit ribosomal RNA", at positions 569 to 1046 of the family's 2925-position model. Lineage: Eukaryota; Metazoa; Chordata; Amphibia; Anura; Dicroglossidae. The record is from RNAcentral.
UGUAGCUUAGCCAAAAGCAUCUCGCUUACACCGAGAAGACGUCUGUGCGACCCGGAUCAUUUUGAGCCCAAAAUCAAGCCUUUAACUCUUAUUAUUCAACCCCAUUUCUAUUCCUUCCCCUAAAUAAAACAUUUUAUUACUUUAGUAGAGGUGAUCGAAAAAUUAAUUAGCGCUUCACACACAGUACCGCAAGGGAACGAUGAAAUAGCUUUGAAAUAGACUAAAAGCCAAAAACAGCAGAGAUUACCCCUCGUACCUUUUGCAUCAUGGUUUAGCCAGUCCUAACCAAGCAAGGCGAACCCAAGUUUGGUCCCCCGAAACUAGGCGAGCUACUUCGAAACAGCUUUUAGAGCCAACCCAUCUCUGUUGCAAAAGAGUGGGAUGAUUUCCAAGUAGAGGUGAAAAGCCUAUCGAGCCUAGAGAUAGCUGGUUAUUCAAGAAAUGAAUUUUAGUUCACCCUUAAGCCCCCCCCGGUAACCUAAACACGACUCCCCCGCUUAAGAGCUAUUCAAUUAAGGCACAGCUUAUUUGAAAAAGAAUCCAAUCUAUAAUUUAGGGUAAGCCA